Molecule: long non-coding RNA, 162 nt
Filed under: Neogale vison (American mink)
Lineage: Eukaryota; Metazoa; Chordata; Mammalia; Carnivora; Mustelidae
Description: Neovison vison (American mink) TTC28 antisense RNA 1 conserved region 3 (ENSNVIG00000004228.1)
Rfam family: TTC28 antisense RNA 1 conserved region 3
Source: RNAcentral
CUUUUCUUACAGUAUAACCCUGGGAUGCAGGGGGCUGACCUCCCGGCAGGAAAAAACGAGUGGUCCUGGGCAGGAUGACCAGCGAGGGGGCCUGCCAUCGGGGCUGAAGCUCCUCGGAGACACACUGCCCAGGGUCAAGGGGUCCCACGGUUAGUCAGAAGG